GGGGACUCUCCCUGAGGUCACCAGGGGCUCCGCCUUGAGGUCACAGCCGCGGGAGGCCGUGCUCGUGCUUUGGAGCUCCACGUGAUGUGGUCGGUGGAAGACGUCUCCUUUGUCAGAAUCUGCGCUCAGAUUCCCGGAAUAGCUGCCAGACCGACCCCAGCGUUGAGCCCGGGAAGGGAAGAGUUUUCGCUGUUGUUGACCAGGCUGGAGUGCAAUGGUGCAAUCUCGGCUCACCACAACCUCUGCCUCCCGGGUUCAAGUGAUUCUCCUGCCUCAGCCUACGGAGUAGCUGGGAUUACAGGCAUGUGCCACCACACCCGGCUAAUUUUGUAAAUAUUUAACCUUUUGUCUGUAGCUAUCUGCUUAGGAACAAAAGGAAAGGCAGCUUCUU
Molecule: long non-coding RNA, 391 nt
Filed under: Pan troglodytes (chimpanzee)
Lineage: Eukaryota; Metazoa; Chordata; Mammalia; Primates; Hominidae
Description: long non-coding RNA NONPTRT002949
Source: RNAcentral